This is a long non-coding RNA of Chelonia mydas (Green sea turtle), 806 nucleotides long. RefSeq lists it as uncharacterized. The transcript has 3 exons. The record is from RefSeq and is a predicted model, not a curated record. NCBI's taxonomy places the organism in Eukaryota, Metazoa, Chordata, Testudines, Cheloniidae.
AUCCCGGGGAGGCUCCUCCCGCCGUGCUCAGCAGCACCCCCCCCCCCCGGGCUCUCCGCCUGGGCGGGCUCCCCUCCGGUCUCAGCGCUCCCUUGGUUCAACCCCGGCCGAGGAGCGGGUUCGUGCCCGGCUCCACCACUCGGUGGCCUGGGCGCUGCCCGCGGGGUUUCCCCGGCCCGCUGGUGCCAGGGGAGCGAGCCGCUGCGGCGCUCAAGCGCUGGGCAGCCCGGGCGCGUCUCAGCAGCGAGGCUGGACUCAGUGGGAGCGGGGCUUUGUUCGGGCGCGGCGAGCUUGGCCAGCGUUUAUACCGCGCUGGGGUCCGGGAGAUAGAACACAGCGAGCGUCUGACCCGCCUAAGGCUUCUUCGUGCAACCUGGGGCCGUUAUCCCGUGUCAGUGUGUCCCGGUGGAGCCAGCCCCGCCGCCCCGCUCCUUUCCCCCGGGAUUACGGGCCUGGAGGCGGCAGAAAGAGGACCUAACCCGGAGGACGAAGUCAUUGAUGAAGAAUGGAGUUAGACGACAAUGUUGAGCCCACAACAGGGUCGCCUGGUGGAGCAGGCAGCCAGGAACGGUUUACCACUCUAGAGAUGUCUAGCCAGUCUCAGCAGUUGCUCUCAGGUGAGCAAGAAGGAGAGGAGAAGCCUGAUGUGGCCUUACAGACACCCCACCCACACCAGCAGAGUGUCUCCGCGAGAUAAGAAAGCGCCCAAGACGGAGCAAAGAAGACAUGUUCCGGGAGCAGGGCCGGAUUAACUCUUUUGUGGGCCCGGGGCUAUUAGAUUUUGUGGGGCCCCUGUAUACCAGUCU